GACGAACGCUGUCGGCGUGCUUAAUACAUGCAAGUAGGACGCAGUUGCGAACGGGUGAGUAACGCGUAGGUAACUACCUAUUAGAGGGGGAUAACUAUUGGAAACGAUAGCUAAUACCGCAUACUAGUAGAUGGACCUGCGUUGUAUUAGCUAGUAGGUAGGGGAAUGGCCUACCUAGUCAACGAUACAUAGCCUACCUUAGAGGGUGUUCGGCCCAACGGGGACUGGGACACGGCCCAGACUCCUACGGUAGGCAGCAGUAGGGAAGCUUCGGCAAUUGGGGGAACCCUGACCGAGGAACUCCGCGUGAGUGAGGAAGGUUUUAGGAUCGUAAAGCUCUGUAGUUAAGGAAGCGGUACUUAACCAGAAUGGGACAGCUAACUCCGUGCCAGCAGCCUCGGUAAUAC
Molecule: ribosomal RNA, 407 nt
Filed under: uncultured bacterium
Lineage: Bacteria
Description: partial 16S ribosomal RNA
Rfam family: Bacterial small subunit ribosomal RNA
Source: RNAcentral